GACCACGUGAUUAGGGAAUUGAUUAAUUUAUCAUUCAAUCAUUGCCAUACUUCAUACAAAGGUUCACCAUUGAGUUGGCAGAACUUUAUUAUUCAAUCUCUAGGUU
Molecule: non-coding RNA, 106 nt
Organism: Capsicum annuum
Lineage: Eukaryota; Viridiplantae; Streptophyta; Magnoliopsida; Solanales; Solanaceae
Source: Rfam